GGGGUUGUGGCUCAGUGGUAGUACCAGCACUUGCCUCGCAUGCAUGGGGCACUGGGUUCAAUCCUCAGCACCACA
This 75-nucleotide transfer RNA is filed under the name Marmota monax (woodchuck). RNAcentral describes it as "tRNA.Ala". Lineage: Eukaryota; Metazoa; Chordata; Mammalia; Rodentia; Sciuridae. The record is from RNAcentral.